Clupea harengus (Atlantic herring) is the source of this 777-nucleotide long non-coding RNA. RefSeq lists it as uncharacterized. Lineage: Eukaryota; Metazoa; Chordata; Actinopteri; Clupeiformes; Clupeidae. The record is from RefSeq and is a predicted model, not a curated record. The transcript has 3 exons.
AGUGAAGCAUCUUUCUUCUCUUCUGGAGGAUCCCAACUGUAAACUGGAUAAACUAUACGUUGAAAACUGCAAUAUAACAGAAGAGGGCUUCAGUUCUCUUGCAUCAGCACUGAGAUCAAACCCCUCACACAUGAGAGAGCUGUGGCUAGAUGGGAGUAAAGCAGGAGCCUCAGGAGUGAAGCAUCUUUCUUCUGUGCUGGAGGAUCCCAACUGUAAACUGGAGAAACUAGACCUGUCAAACUGCAGUAUUACAGAUAAAGGCCUCAGAUCUUUACUAUCAGCAGUGAGAUCAAACCCAUCAGCCCUCAGAGAGAUUUGGCUGAAUGGGAAUCAUCCUGGACCCUCAGCACUGCAGCUGUUCUCUGAACUUCAGAAAGAUCCAAACUGUAAACAUAUCAAAAUAUCUGGACUCUCAUGAAUCGAUUCAAAUUUUAUUCCACAUUAAAUAUAUCUCUCUACACUGUGUAUAAAACAAAUAAUUAUAUCUGAUGUAAAAAAAUAAAUUCUUUAGUUACUGGAAUGAUUAGUGACAUGUUGUGACAAGUCACUGCAUAUAUGAUGUACGUAUAGUAGUUGUCCAACAGCUCCUUUCCACUGUACCUGUCUUUGUUUAGGAAGAAAUGAUGUUACUCCUAUCUCUGUACUCCACUGGACUUAAAUUUAUUUCCCUAUCCCUUGUAUACUACUUGCAUCACGUUACUAUUUGAAGUAAUAUGUAUGUUUUUUUUUUAAGUAACAAAAAAAAAAUGUCAGUACUGUUAGUAUUGUAUAAAGAAU